GCUACAUUUAGAUUUACAGGCUGAUUUUUCUUAGAGAAAAAAAAUCAAUAUCAAAUAGGGCUAUUCCAAGCUGAUCUUGAGUGGAUACCCAUAGAGGUUGGGUACUUGUAUGGUUAAGAGAGAGCCUCUUCUCUUUCAGAUCCAGAUUUGAAGAAAUAAAUUAUGAAAUAGGUAUGUGAUUCGAUCACAUUUUCAAUUUCAGCAUAUGUUCAAUUUCAGCAUAUGAAGUAGAUCCUUAUAGUUUGUG
Molecule: long non-coding RNA, 247 nt
Filed under: Elaeis guineensis (African oil palm)
Lineage: Eukaryota; Viridiplantae; Streptophyta; Magnoliopsida; Arecales; Arecaceae
Description: long non-coding RNA (EGUI_LNC010217)
Source: RNAcentral